AUUGAACGCUGGCGGCAGGCCUAACACAUGCAAGUCGAACGGCAGCGGGGGAUAGCUUGCUAUCCUGCCGGCGAGUGGCGGACGGGUGAGUAAUGCAUGGGGAGCUGCCCAGUCGAGGGGGAUAACAACUGGAAACGGUUGCUAAUACCGCAUACGCCCUUUGGGGGAAAGGUGGGGAGCUUCGGUCCUACCGCGAUUGGAUGCGCCCAUGUGGGAUUAGCUAGUUGGUGAGGUAACGGCUCACCAAGGCGACGGUCUCUAGCUGGUCUGAGAGGAUGACCAGCCACACUGGAACUGAGACACGGUCCAGACUCCUACGGGAGGCAGCAGUGGGGAAUAUUGCACAAUGGGGGAAACCCUGAUGCAGCCAUGCCGCGUGUGUGAAGAAGGCCUUCGGGUUGUAAAGCACUUUCAGUCAGGAGGAAGGGGUGAUGGCUAAUAUCCAUCAUCAUUGACGUUACUGACAGAAGAAGCACCGGCUAACUACGUGCCAGCAGCCGCAGUAA
This 506-nucleotide ribosomal RNA is filed under the name uncultured bacterium. RNAcentral's name for it is "partial 16S ribosomal RNA". It matches the Rfam family "Bacterial small subunit ribosomal RNA", at positions 30 to 523 of the family's 1533-position model. The record is from RNAcentral.